UCAUAGAGUGACAGAAUAAAGGUCAAAUUAUGAAAAUCUUGAUUAACGGUUAUUUAUUACAGCUGGAAAUAAUUUUAUCUUCUUAGAUCCUUUGGCAGGUUAUAAAUAGUGGAAUAAUAAAUAACAUACAUAGAUGUAAGGUGAAGAAAGACUGUCCUCACAAUGAUUGAACCAAUCAAUAUUAUCAUCUUCCACCUAUGUCUUUACAUUUUUAGAGUAGUGAUGCCUUCUUCGUAUGUGGGGGUUAUGUUUUACUUUAUGUUUUUUUACGAGAUGAUUCUAAUUUGUAUAGCAGUUUACAUGUACGUACAGGAAGAGGAGGACGAUGGUUAAGAUCAGUUUGUGCCCUUGGUCCGCGGACGACAAUCAACAAUCACCGACUAUUUACAUUAUUUUUUAAAUUAAAAGUUAAAUAAUGCAACUCGUA
This is a long non-coding RNA of Aethina tumida (small hive beetle), 427 nucleotides long. RefSeq lists it as uncharacterized. The transcript is spliced from 3 exons. Lineage: Eukaryota; Metazoa; Arthropoda; Insecta; Coleoptera; Nitidulidae. The record is from RefSeq and is a predicted model, not a curated record.